CGCCCACACUGAUUGAAUAUCUCCACCUGGCCUGACCCACUCUUGUUCUUGGACUUUGUUACCUGGGACUGGUUUCCAGGACUUGUUUUCAAGACCACCAGCUGCCUGGAUGGGAUUAAGAGAGAGGUGUGGGAAAUGGCUGGAAUGUGGAAGAAGGUA
RNAcentral lists this long non-coding RNA (159 nucleotides) under Mustela putorius furo (domestic ferret). RNAcentral's name for it is "lncRNA (ENSMPUG00000023890.1)". The record is from RNAcentral. Lineage: Eukaryota; Metazoa; Chordata; Mammalia; Carnivora; Mustelidae.